RNAcentral lists this ribosomal RNA (62 nucleotides) under Bartonella sp. RN15BJ. Its description in RNAcentral is "partial 16S ribosomal RNA". The record is from RNAcentral. RNAcentral also lists the same sequence under 15 other names. Lineage: Bacteria; Pseudomonadati; Pseudomonadota; Alphaproteobacteria; Hyphomicrobiales; Bartonellaceae.
GGGUCAGCGACUGGGGUGAAGUCGUAACAAGGUAGCCGUAGGGGAACCUGUGGCUGGAUCAC